UGAAUAUAUUGCUUCUACAUUGGUUUUAUGUAUAGAGUUAGCUAUCAAGUUGCCAGCUACAAUUUAACUAACUACAUUUGAACAACUAGCUGUUCAACUAAUACCCAUAACUAAUUAUUUCAGCUAAGCUUUUCUAACUAAUUUCAAUCACCUAUAUUUUCAGUUCCACCUCCAGCUUCAGCUUCGAUCACAGGGUUUUGCUACAUCAUAUUGCUGACUUGUAACAACUCUCUUCAAGAUGGACUUGUGUUAAUCCAUGAUUCCGAUCUUGUUAAGUAGGAAAGAAAACUGUUUUGCUCCCAAAGCUUUCAUUAAAAUGUCUACUAGUUGGUGUUUAGAAAAAAACAUGAACUCUUUUAAUUAAACCUUUCUGUAGCUUCUCUCUAAUGAUAUAACAAUCUAUAUCUAUGAGUUUUGUCAUCUCAUAAAAACUGGAUUGAUAGCUAUGUGCAAUGCUGUAUUAUUGUUGCAGUACAUUAAUGUAGGCUUU
This 490-nucleotide long non-coding RNA is filed under the name Olea europaea subsp. europaea. Lineage: Eukaryota; Viridiplantae; Streptophyta; Magnoliopsida; Lamiales; Oleaceae. The record is from RNAcentral.